AUUUAUAUAGUAUAUUUAUUAUUUUUAACUUCCAAUUAAAAGAUCUAACUAAAUUAGUAUAAAUA
This 65-nucleotide transfer RNA is filed under the name Lucifotychus sp. 1 EF-2015. RNAcentral's name for it is "tRNA-Gly". Lineage: Eukaryota; Metazoa; Arthropoda; Insecta; Coleoptera; Staphylinidae. The record is from RNAcentral.